GAUGAACGCUGGCGGCGUGCUUAACACAUGCAAGUCGAACGGGAAUUACAUUUUAGCUUGCUAAGUUGUAAUUCUAGUGGCGGACGGGUGAGUAACGCGUGGGUAACCUGCCUUAUACCGGGGGACAACAGUUGGAAACGACUGCUAAUACCGCAUAAGCGCACGGGAAGGCAUCUUUCUGUGUGAAAAACUCCGGUGGUAUAAGAUGGACCCGCGUCUGAUUAGCCAGUUGGCGGUGUAACGGACCACCAAAGCGACGAUCAGUAGCCGGCCUGAGAGGGCAAACGGCCACAUUGGGACUGAGACACGGCCCAAACUCCUACGGGAGGCAGCAGUGGGGAAUAUUGCACAAUGGAGGAAACUCUGAUGCAGCGACGCCGCGUGAGUGAAGAAGUAUUUCGGUAUGUAAAGCUCUAUCAGCAGGAAAGAAAAUGACGGUACCU
Molecule: ribosomal RNA, 443 nt
Filed under: bacterium WTD3002
Lineage: Bacteria
Description: bacterial SSU rRNA
Rfam family: Bacterial small subunit ribosomal RNA
Source: RNAcentral